Molecule: ribosomal RNA, 1407 nt
Filed under: Staphylococcus aureus
Lineage: Bacteria; Bacillati; Bacillota; Bacilli; Caryophanales; Staphylococcaceae
Description: partial 23S ribosomal RNA
Rfam family: Bacterial large subunit ribosomal RNA
Source: RNAcentral
GAGAAUGCCGGUGUGAGUAGCGAAAGACGGGUGAGAAUCCCGUCCACCGAUUGACUAAGGUUUCCAGAGGAAGGCUCGUCCGCUCUGGGUUAGUCGGGUCCUAAGCUGAGGCCGACAGGCGUAGGCGAUGGAUAACAGGUUGAUAUUCCUGUACCACCUAUAAUCGUUUUAAUCGAUGGGGGGACGCAGUAGGAUAGGCGAAGCGUGCGAUUGGAUUGCACGUCUAAGCAGUAAGGCUGAGUAUUAGGCAAAUCCGGUACUCGUUAAGGCUGAGCUGUGAUGGGGAGAAGACAUUGUGUCUUCGAGUCGUUGAUUUCACACUGCCGAGAAAAGCCUCUAGAUAGAAAAUAGGUGCCCGUACCGCAAACCGACACAGGUAGUCAAGAUGAGAAUUCUAAGGUGAGCGAGCGAACUCUCGUUAAGGAACUCGGCAAAAUGACCCCGUAACUUCGGGAGAAGGGGUGCUCUUUAGGGUUAACGCCCAGAAGAGCCGCAGUGAAUAGGCCCAAGCGACUGUUUAUCAAAAACACAGGUCUCUGCUAAACCGUAAGGUGAUGUAUAGGGGCUGACGCCUGCCCGGUGCUGGAAGGUUAAGAGGAGUGGUUAGCUUCUGCGAAGCUACGAAUCGAAGCCCCAGUAAACGGCGGCCGUAACUAUAACGGUCCUAAGGUAGCGAAAUUCCUUGUCGGGUAAGUUCCGACCCGCACGAAAGGCGUAACGAUUUGGGCACUGUCUCAACGAGAGACUCGGUGAAAUCAUAGUACCUGUGAAGAUGCAGGUUACCCGCGACAGGACGGAAAGACCCCGUGGAGCUUUACUGUAGCCUGAUAUUGAAAUUCGGCACAGCUUGUACAGGAUAGGUAGGAGCCUUUGAAACGUGAGCGCUAGCUUACGUGGAGGCGCUGGUGGGAUACUACCCUAGCUGUGUUGGCUUUCUAACCCGCACCACUUAUCGUGGUGGGAGACAGUGUCAGGCGGGCAGUUUGACUGGGGCGGUCGCCUCCUAAAAGGUAACGGAGGCGCUCAAAGGUUCCCUCAGAAUGGUUGGAAAUCAUUCAUAGAGUGUAAAGGCAUAAGGGAGCUUGACUGCGAGACCUACAAGUCGAGCAGGGUCGAAAGACGGACUUAGUGAUCCGGUGGUUCCGCAUGGAAGGGCCAUCGCUCAACGGAUAAAAGCUACCCCGGGGAUAACAGGCUUAUCUCCCCCAAGAGUUCACAUCGACGGGGAGGUUUGGCACCUCGAUGUCGGCUCAUCGCAUCCUGGGGCUGUAGUCGGUCCCAAGGGUUGGGCUGUUCGCCCAUUAAAGCGGUACGCGAGCUGGGUUCAGAACGUCGUGAGACAGUUCGGUCCCUAUCCGUCGUGGGCGUAGGAAAUUUGAGAGGAGCUGUCCUUAGUACGAGAGGACC